UGCCGAACGAAUUCCAGGAAUUUAGGG
RNAcentral lists this non-coding RNA (27 nucleotides) under Bombyx mori (domestic silkworm). The record is from RNAcentral. Lineage: Eukaryota; Metazoa; Arthropoda; Insecta; Lepidoptera; Bombycidae.